UUUCUAAAUUUAUAAUAGAAUUUUAUUUUUUAGUCAAAAAGCUAAAAUAUAUUUAAAAGACGAGAAGACCCUAUAAAUCUUUAUAUUUAGGUUAUUAUAAUUUUAUAGAUUUUUUUUGUUAUAAUAAUUGAUAAUAUUUUAUUGGGGUGAUAUUAAAAUUUGAUAAACUUUUAAUUGUUUAAAUCAUUAAUUUAUGAAUAAUUGAUCCGUUAUUAGUGAUUAAAAAAAUAAGUUACCUUAGGGAUAACAG
RNAcentral lists this ribosomal RNA (250 nucleotides) under Chrysomya megacephala (oriental latrine fly). Its description in RNAcentral is "partial 16S ribosomal RNA". The record is from RNAcentral. Lineage: Eukaryota; Metazoa; Arthropoda; Insecta; Diptera; Calliphoridae.